This 416-nucleotide ribosomal RNA is filed under the name uncultured bacterium. RNAcentral describes it as "bacterial SSU rRNA". It matches the Rfam family "Bacterial small subunit ribosomal RNA", at positions 29 to 490 of the family's 1533-position model. The record is from RNAcentral.
AACGAACGCUGGCGGCAUGCCUAACACAUGCAAGUCGAACGAAGCCUCCGGGCUUAGUGGCGCACGGGUGCGUAACGCGUGGGAAUCUGCCCUUGGGUUCGGAAUAACAGUUAGAAAUGACUGCUAAUACCGAAUGAUGUCUUCGGACCAAAGAUUUAUCGCCCAAGGAUGAGCCCGCGUCGGAUUAGCUAGUUGGUGAGGUAAAGGCUCACCAAGGCGACGAUCCGUAGCUGGUCUGAGAGGAUGAUCAGCCACACUGGGACUGAGACACGGCCCAGACUCCUACGGGAGGCAGCAGUGGGGAAUAUUGGACAAUGGGCGAAAGCCUGAUCCAGCAAUGCCGCGUGAGUGAUGAAGGCCUUAGGGUUGUAAAGCUCUUUUACCCGGGAUGAUAAUGACAGUACCGGGAGAAUAAG